GCCUGGGCAACAGAGUGAGACCCUGUAUUUUAAAAAGCAGGGAAAUAAAUCUCAUCUAGGUUCUACUCUUUCUGCCCUUCUCACUAUUGCACUUGACUAGUCUUAA
Cercocebus atys (sooty mangabey) is the source of this 106-nucleotide unclassified non-coding RNA. It matches the Rfam family "Y RNA". From Rfam's summary of the family: Y RNAs are components of the Ro ribonucleoprotein particle (Ro RNP), in association with Ro60 and La proteins. The Y RNAs and Ro60 and La proteins are well conserved, but the function of the Ro RNP is not known. In humans the RNA component can be one of four small RNAs -- hY1, hY3, hY4 and hY5. The record is from Ensembl. Lineage: Eukaryota; Metazoa; Chordata; Mammalia; Primates; Cercopithecidae.